GGACGAACGCUGGCGGCGUGCUUAACACAUGCAAGUCGAACGAGGAUCAAGGAAGAGCUGCUCCGAGAUGAUCGAGUGGCGGACGGGUGAGUAACGCGUGAACAAUCUGUCUCAUACAGGGGGAUAACGCAUCGAAAGAUGUGCUAAUACCGCGUAGGACCACAGCAUCGCAUGGUGCAGGGGUGAAAGGAGCAAUCCGGUAUGAGGUGAGUUCGCGUCUGAUUAGAUAGUUGGUGAGGUAACGGCCCACCAAGUCAACGAUCAGUAGCCGACCUGAGAGGGUGAUCGGCCACAUUGGGACUGAGACACGGCCCAGACUCCUACGGGAGGCAGCAGUGGGGAAUAUUGGGCAAUGGGCGAAAGCCUGACCCAGCAACGCCGCGUGAAGGAAGAAGGUUUUCGGAUCGUAAACUUCUGUCCUUGGUGAAGAUAGUGACGGUAGCCAAGGAGGAAGCCCCGGCUAACUACGUGCCAGCAGCAGC
This 482-nucleotide ribosomal RNA is filed under the name uncultured bacterium. RNAcentral describes it as "bacterial SSU rRNA". It matches the Rfam family "Bacterial small subunit ribosomal RNA", at positions 27 to 518 of the family's 1533-position model. The record is from RNAcentral.